RNAcentral lists this ribosomal RNA (253 nucleotides) under uncultured bacterium. RNAcentral's name for it is "partial 16S ribosomal RNA". It matches the Rfam family "Bacterial small subunit ribosomal RNA", at positions 524 to 776 of the family's 1533-position model. The record is from RNAcentral.
UACGUAGGUGACCAGCGUUGUCCGGAUUUACUGGGCGUAAAGAGCGCGCAGGCGGUCGUUCAAGUCGAGUGUGAAAGCCCCCGGCUCAACUGGGGAGGGUCAUUCGAUACUGAUCGACUUGAAGGCAGGAGAGGGAAGCGGAAUUCCCGGUGUAGUGGUGAAAUGCGCAGAUAUCAGGAAGAAUAUCCGUGGCGAAGGCGGCUCUCUGGUACGGCACUGACGCUGAGACGCGAAAGCGUGGGGAGCGAACAGG